GUGGGGAAUAUUGGACAAUGGGCGAAAGCCUGAUCCAGCAAUGCCGCGUGAGUGAUGAAGGCCUUAGGGUUGUAAAGCUCUUUUACCAGGGAUGAUAAUGACAGUACCUGGAGAAUAAGCUCCGGCUAACUCCGUGCCAGCAGCCGCGGUAAUACGGAGGGAGCUAGCGUUGUUCGGAAUUACUGGGCGUAAAGCGCGCGUAGGCGGCGAUUUAAGUCAGAGGUGAAAGCCCGGGGCUCAACCCCGGAAUAGCCUUUGAGACUGGAUUGCUAGAAUCCUGGAGAGGUGAGUGGAAUUCCGAGUGUAGAGGUGAAAUUCGUAGAUAUUCGGAAGAACACCAGUGGCGAAGGCGGCUCACUGGACAGGUAUUGACGCUGAGGUGCGAAAGCGUGGGGAGCAAACAGGAUUAGAUACCCGAGUAGUCC
Molecule: ribosomal RNA, 425 nt
Filed under: uncultured bacterium
Lineage: Bacteria
Description: partial 16S ribosomal RNA
Rfam family: Bacterial small subunit ribosomal RNA
Source: RNAcentral